UACGGAGGGGGCUAGCGUUGUUCGGAAUCACUGGGCGUAAAGCGCGCGUAGGCGGCUUGGUAAGUUAGAAGUGAAAUCCCUGGGCUUAACCUAGGAAUUGCUUUUAAAACUGCUAAGCUAGAGAAUGGUAGAGGAGAGUGGAAUUCCUAGUGUAGAGGUGAAAUUCGUAGAUAUUAGGAGGAACACCAGAGGCGAAGGCGGCUCUCUGGGCCAUUUCUGACGCUAAGGCGCGAAAGCGUGGGGAGCAAACAGG
This 253-nucleotide ribosomal RNA is filed under the name uncultured bacterium. RNAcentral's name for it is "partial 16S ribosomal RNA". It matches the Rfam family "Bacterial small subunit ribosomal RNA", at positions 524 to 776 of the family's 1533-position model. The record is from RNAcentral.